Molecule: long non-coding RNA, 752 nt
Filed under: Erythranthe guttata (spotted monkey flower)
Lineage: Eukaryota; Viridiplantae; Streptophyta; Magnoliopsida; Lamiales; Phrymaceae
Description: long non-coding RNA (EGUT_LNC003585)
Source: RNAcentral
UUAACUCAAUAUCGAAUCAAAAAGACAAACAUAUUUAUAUUUUUCUUCAGAUGUGUUUGAUGCUGGAAAUUGUAGAUAUAAAUAUAGUCAUGUAGACAAUUAAUGAUAAGUGGAGGGCGAGAAUUAUUUUUUUAUAUUAAAAUGUCUAUAACUACUAAAAUGCAUCCAAAGCAGAGAUAAAAAUUAAAAUAAAAUAAAAAAAUCAUGCCUUCAUUUAAUAAAAAUCGUUAUGUGUUUAUCAUUUACCUUUAUUUUUUUCAUAGAAUUCGCAUCAUAUAAAAUUUUUAAACUUCCUUUGUGUAUGAACAUUUGCAUCACUAACGGGUCGGGCUACCGCAUGAUGAUGGGGCGUCAAGAUCCGAAUAGUAUUGUUAGUCGCAUCGAGAUCCUGGUUCUACCAUUCUCUUGAUAUUUUUCGCUUCUUCAAUGGCGAUGGAAAACACCAGCUUGACGAAACAACUUUGAGCUGGAAAUUAGAACGGAAUCGGGCUUCCAACGGAGGCUUAAAAUAUAACCCAUUUGGUGGGGGUUUGAGUUUAGGUGGAAACGGGUUAUUGCAAAUGGUUAGUGGUGACUGCUUCCUUAUUUGAUUCUGCUCCUUAGGGAAUUCAAAUUCAAUGUGGUGUUGAUCCAAUAGUGGUUGUUGUUCUUGGCUCUUGGGAACACCGGGUCGGAUCUCCCACUUGAAUGGAACGGCACCUGCUUUUUUGAAUGAAUAAUCAUAUGUCUCCAUGUUUUUGGAUUGGUGAGAA